Molecule: ribosomal RNA, 492 nt
Filed under: uncultured bacterium
Lineage: Bacteria
Description: partial 16S ribosomal RNA
Rfam family: Bacterial small subunit ribosomal RNA
Source: RNAcentral
AGUGAACGCUGGCGGUAGGCCUAACACAUGCAAGUCGAACGGCAGCACAGUAAGAGCUUGCUCUUACGGGUGGCGAGUGGCGGACGGGUGAGGAAUACAUCGGAAUCUACUUUUUCGGGGGGGAUAACGUAGGGAAACUUACGCUAAUACCGCAUACGACCUACGGGUGAAAGCAGGGGAGCUUCGGACCUUGCGCGAUUGAAUGAGCCGAUGUCGGAUUAGCUAGUUGGCGGGGUAAAGGCCCACCAAGGCGACGAUCCGUAGCUGGUCUGAGAGGAUGAUCAGCCACACUGGAACUGAGACACGGUCCAGACUCCUACGGGAGGCAGCAGUGGGGAAUCUUGGACAAUGGGCGCAAGCCUGAUCCAGCCAUACCGCGUGGGUGAAGAAGGCCUUCGGGUUGUAAAGCCCUUUUGUUGGGAAAGAACAGCAGCAGGUUAAUCCCCCGCUGUUCUGACGGUACCCAAAGAAUAAGCCCCGGCUAACUUCGUG